This 720-nucleotide long non-coding RNA is filed under the name Sus scrofa (pig). Lineage: Eukaryota; Metazoa; Chordata; Mammalia; Artiodactyla; Suidae. The record is from RNAcentral.
GCUGAAGUCAGUAUGGGGACUUGCUUCCGUCUUCCUAAUGGGAGGAACUGGUGCCUGCCCACUGGGAAGGGAGCAUGAACUGAACUCUAAAUCUCACUGUUGCUAACACGGGAGAAAAACUGACCUAGGCUCUCCUUGGCUCCAAGUCAAAAAUCUCAGAGUAAUGUUUGGCUCAUUUGGAUCAUCUGACUGCCUCUGCAUCAAUCAGUGCUGGACAGAAGGACAGGGUCAUUCAGCAUAGUCUCAUCAUUGGGUUUCUCUUAGAGAAGGCUAACCAUUGUGAGAGAAAGAGCCACUCCACUUGCCCGCCAUGAAAAUGGCCCAACCGCUCUUUUUGUUUUUACUCUUGUGGAAAAUUCAGUGCAGUUUUAGUCAUCUUUCCAACCCUUCUUACCACAGAUACAUCAAAUGAUUGUAUUUCACUGAAUCUAUGACAGUAAUUUUUUUUUUAUCAUGUAUGACUGUUCUAUGUACCUCUGAGAAAGAAGGAGAAGAUAAGGUUCCAAAUAAACUAAUGACACAAUGCCAGGAUGCCUUCCAUUAUAAAAUGCAUCCUAAUUUACAAGCUGUCAAAGCAUCUUUUUAGAGUUGAUGGAAGAUGUUAUUUGUUGCUCCACAACCAAGCGCCAGCUAUACUUUCAUGCCCUGGUACCACUGUUCUUUUAUUUCUUCAGUACAUCCAUUAAUUCAGAAAAUAUAGGCCAAAUAAUAAUAAAUGAG